GUGCUUGCUUCAGCAGCACAUAUACUAAACUUGGAACGAUACAGAGAAGAUUAAAGUGGUCCCUGUGCAAGGAUGGCACGUAAAUUCGUGAAGCGUUCCAUAAAAAA
Small nuclear RNA from Castor canadensis (American beaver), 107 nucleotides. NCBI's taxonomy places the organism in Eukaryota, Metazoa, Chordata, Mammalia, Rodentia, Castoridae. The record is from Ensembl.